This 27-nucleotide non-coding RNA is filed under the name Mus musculus (house mouse). The record is from RNAcentral. Lineage: Eukaryota; Metazoa; Chordata; Mammalia; Rodentia; Muridae.
UACAGCCUGACUCUCCGUGGGAGAGAU